AAUCAACGCUGGCGGCGUGCCUCAGACAUGCAAGUCGAACGAUUAAACUUUCCUUCGGGAAAGAUAUAAAGUGGCGCACGGGUGAGUAACACGUAGGUAAUGUACCUUUGGGUGGGGAAUAACCAUCGGAAACGAUGGCUAAUACCGCAUAAUGCAGCGGCAUCGCAAGAUGACAGUUGUUAAAGAUUUAUCGCCUAAAGAGCAGCCUGCGGCAGAUUAGGUAGNGGUAAGGUAAUGGCUUACCAAGCCUGCGAUCUGUAACCGACCUGAGAGGGUGGUCGGUCACACUGACACUGAAUAACGGGUCAGACUCCUACGGGAGGCAGCAGUCGGGAAUUUGGGCAAUGGGCGAAAGCCUGACCCAGCAACGCCGCGUGAAGGACGAAGUCUUUC
Molecule: ribosomal RNA, 393 nt
Filed under: uncultured bacterium
Lineage: Bacteria
Description: bacterial SSU rRNA
Rfam family: Bacterial small subunit ribosomal RNA
Source: RNAcentral